AGUGAACGCUGGCGGUAGGCCUAACACAUGCCAGUCGAACGGCAGCACAGUAAGAGCUUGCUCUUACGGGUGGCGAGUGGCGGACGGGUGAGGAAUACAUCGGAAUCUACUUUUUCGUGGGGGAUAACGUAGGGAAACUUACGCUAAUACCACAUACGACCUACGGGUGAAAGUAGGGGAUCUUCGGACCUUGCGCGAUUGAAUGAGCCGAUGUCGGAUUAGCUAGUUGGCGGGGUAAAGGCCCACCAAGGCGACGAUCCGUAGCUGGUCUGAGAGGAUGAUCAGCCACACUGGAACUGAGACACGGUCCAGACUCCUACGGGAGGCAGCAGUGGGGAAUAUUGGACAAUGGGCGCAAGCCUGAUCCAGCCAUACCGCGUGGGUGAAGAAGGCCUUCGGGUUGUAAAGCCCUUUUGUUGGGAAAGAAAAGCAGCAGGUUAAUACCCCGCUGUUCUGACGGUACCCAAAGAAUAAGCACCGGCUAACUUCGUG
This 492-nucleotide ribosomal RNA is filed under the name uncultured bacterium. RNAcentral's name for it is "partial 16S ribosomal RNA". It matches the Rfam family "Bacterial small subunit ribosomal RNA", at positions 29 to 507 of the family's 1533-position model. The record is from RNAcentral.